RNAcentral lists this ribosomal RNA (109 nucleotides) under Caerostris darwini. Lineage: Eukaryota; Metazoa; Arthropoda; Arachnida; Araneae; Araneidae. The record is from RNAcentral.
AACGGCCGUACCAUGCUGAAUAUACCGGUUCUCGUUAGAUCACCGAAGUUAAGCAUCAUUGGGCGCGGUCAGUACUUUGGGUGACCACCUGGGAACACUGCGUGCCGUU